RNAcentral lists this ribosomal RNA (1540 nucleotides) under Staphylococcus aureus. Its description in RNAcentral is "16S ribosomal RNA". It matches the Rfam family "Bacterial small subunit ribosomal RNA". Lineage: Bacteria; Bacillati; Bacillota; Bacilli; Caryophanales; Staphylococcaceae. RNAcentral also lists the same sequence under 2 other names. The record is from RNAcentral.
AGAGUUUGAUCCUGGCUCAGGAUAAACGCUGGCGGCGUGCCUAAUACAUGCAAGUCGAGCGAACGGACGAGAAGCUUGCUUCUCUGAUGUUAGCGGCGGACGGGUGAGUAACACGUGGAUAACCUACCUAUAAGACUGGGAUAACUUCGGGAAACCGGAGCUAAUACCGGAUAAUAUUUUGAACCGCAUGGUUCAAAAGUGAAAGACGGUCUUGCUGUCACUUAUAGAUGGAUCCGCGCUGCAUUAGCUAGUUGGUAAGGUAACGGCUUACCAAGGCAACGAUGCAUAGCCGACCUGAGAGGGUGAUCGGCCACACUGGAACUGAGACACGGUCCAGACUCCUACGGGAGGCAGCAGUAGGGAAUCUUCCGCAAUGGGCGAAAGCCUGACGGAGCAACGCCGCGUGAGUGAUGAAGGUCUUCGGAUCGUAAAACUCUGUUAUUAGGGAAGAACAUAUGUGUAAGUAACUGUGCACAUCUUGACGGUACCUAAUCAGAAAGCCACGGCUAACUACGUGCCAGCAGCCGCGGUAAUACGUAGGUGGCAAGCGUUAUCCGGAAUUAUUGGGCGUAAAGCGCGCGUAGGCGGUUUUUUAAGUCUGAUGUGAAAGCCCACGGCUCAACCGUGGAGGGUCAUUGGAAACUGGAAAACUUGAGUGCAGAAGAGGAAAGUGGAAUUCCAUGUGUAGCGGUGAAAUGCGCAGAGAUAUGGAGGAACACCAGUGGCGAAGGCGACUUUCUGGUCUGUAACUGACGCUGAUGUGCGAAAGCGUGGGGAUCAAACAGGAUUAGAUACCCUGGUAGUCCACGCCGUAAACGAUGAGUGCUAAGUGUUAGGGGGUUUCCGCCCCUUAGUGCUGCAGCUAACGCAUUAAGCACUCCGCCUGGGGAGUACGACCGCAAGGUUGAAACUCAAAGGAAUUGACGGGGACCCGCACAAGCGGUGGAGCAUGUGGUUUAAUUCGAAGCAACGCGAAGAACCUUACCAAAUCUUGACAUCCUUUGACAACUCUAGAGAUAGAGCCUUCCCCUUCGGGGGACAAAGUGACAGGUGGUGCAUGGUUGUCGUCAGCUCGUGUCGUGAGAUGUUGGGUUAAGUCCCGCAACGAGCGCAACCCUUAAGCUUAGUUGCCAUCAUUAAGUUGGGCACUCUAAGUUGACUGCCGGUGACAAACCGGAGGAAGGUGGGGAUGACGUCAAAUCAUCAUGCCCCUUAUGAUUUGGGCUACACACGUGCUACAAUGGACAAUACAAAGGGCAGCGAAACCGCGAGGUCAAGCAAAUCCCAUAAAGUUGUUCUCAGUUCGGAUUGUAGUCUGCAACUCGACUACAUGAAGCUGGAAUCGCUAGUAAUCGUAGAUCAGCAUGCUACGGUGAAUACGUUCCCGGGUCUUGUACACACCGCCCGUCACACCACGAGAGUUUGUAACACCCGAAGCCGGUGGAGUAACCUUUUAGGAGCUAGCCGUCGAAGGUGGGACAAAUGAUUGGGGUGAAGUCGUAACAAGGUAGCCGUAUCGGAAGGUGCGGCUGGAUCACCU